Molecule: ribosomal RNA, 261 nt
Filed under: uncultured Glomus
Lineage: Eukaryota; Fungi; Glomeromycota; Glomeromycetes; Glomerales; Glomeraceae
Description: partial 18S ribosomal RNA
Rfam family: Eukaryotic small subunit ribosomal RNA
Source: RNAcentral
UUGGAGGGCAAGUCUGGUGCCAGCAGCCGCGGUAAUUCCAGCUCCAAUAGCGUAUAUUAAAGUUGUUGCAGUUAAAAAGCUCGUAGUUGAAUUUCGGGGUCAGCAGGUUGGCCGUGCCAAUGGUAUGAACUGGCCUUGCUGAUUCCUCCCUCUUGAUGAGCCGUAAUGUCAUUAAUUUGGUGUUGCGGGGAAUCAGGACUGUUACUUUGAAAAAAUUAGAGUGUUUAAAGCAGGCAAGCGCUUGAAUACAUUAGCAUGGAA